Molecule: small nucleolar RNA, 107 nt
Organism: Salvia miltiorrhiza (redroot sage)
Lineage: Eukaryota; Viridiplantae; Streptophyta; Magnoliopsida; Lamiales; Lamiaceae
Source: RefSeq, a predicted model, not a curated record
AAACCAUGUUGAGGGAAACGUCUGAAUAACUCUCAAAAUCUUCCUCAAACAUCAUGUAUCGUCUCAUCCCCUAUCUGAGCAAAGUUUGAAAUCUCCAAUAUGAUUUU